This 465-nucleotide ribosomal RNA is filed under the name Vreelandella stevensii. Its description in RNAcentral is "partial 16S ribosomal RNA". It matches the Rfam family "Bacterial small subunit ribosomal RNA", at positions 338 to 795 of the family's 1533-position model. The record is from RNAcentral. Lineage: Bacteria; Pseudomonadati; Pseudomonadota; Gammaproteobacteria; Oceanospirillales; Halomonadaceae.
CCUACGGGUGGCAGCAGUGGGGAAUAUUGGACAAUGGGGGCAACCCUGAUCCAGCCAUGCCGCGUGUGUGAAGAAGGCCCUCGGGUUGUAAAGCACUUUCAGUGAGGAAGAACGCCUGGUGGUUAAUACCCAUCAGGAAAGACAUCACUCACAGAAGAAGCACCGGCUAACUCCGUGCCAGCAGCCGCGGUAAUACGGAGGGUGCGAGCGUUAAUCGGAAUUACUGGGCGUAAAGCGCGCGUAGGUGGCUUGACAAGCCGGUUGUGAAAGCCCCGGGCUCAACCUGGGAACGGCAUCCGGAACUGUCAAGCUAGAGUGCAGGAGAGGAAGGUAGAAUUCCCGGUGUAGCGGUGAAAUGCGUAGAGAUCGGGAGGAAUACCAGUGGCGAAGGCGGCCUUCUGGACUGACACUGACACUGAGGUGCGAAAGCGUGGGUAGCAAACAGGAUUAGAUACCCCUGUAGUC